RNAcentral lists this ribosomal RNA (405 nucleotides) under Hyalomma marginatum. RNAcentral's name for it is "partial large subunit ribosomal RNA". Lineage: Eukaryota; Metazoa; Arthropoda; Arachnida; Ixodida; Ixodidae. The record is from RNAcentral.
AGUAUUUUGACUAUACAAAGGUAUUGUAAUAAGAUUUUAAUUGAAUGCUAAAAGAAUGGAAAUUUAAAAAAAAACUUUUUUAAAAAUAAAAAUUGAAUUUUUUUUAAUUUGUGCAAAAACAAUUAUACUUAUUAAAGACAAGAAGACCCUAAGAAUUUAAGAUUUUACAAUUAAAAAGUUUUUUUUUUUAAAAUCUUGAUUGGGACGAUCAAAAAAUAUUAAUAACUUUUUAAAAUUUAAAUUGAUCUAUUAUUAAUAAACUAAUGAAUUAAAUACUCUAGGGAUAACAGCGUAAUAAUUUUUGAUAGAUCUUAUUGACAAAAUAGUUUGCGACCUCGAUGUUGGAUUAGGAUUCUUUUUUAAUGAAGAAGUAAAAAAAGAAGUUUGUUCAACUUUUAAAUUCCU